RNAcentral lists this ribosomal RNA (524 nucleotides) under uncultured bacterium. RNAcentral describes it as "partial 16S ribosomal RNA". It matches the Rfam family "Bacterial small subunit ribosomal RNA", at positions 28 to 523 of the family's 1533-position model. The record is from RNAcentral.
GACGAACGCUGGCGGCGUGCCUAAUACAUGCAAAUCGAGCGCAGGAAACUGACGGAACUCUUCGGAGGGAAGGCAGCGGAAUGAGCGGCGGACGGGUGAGUAACACGUAAGGAACCUGCCUCAAGGAUUGGGAUAACUCCGAGAAAUCGGAGCUAAUACCGGAUAGUUCAUCGGACCGCAUGGUCCGUUGAUGAAAGGCGCUCCGGCGUCACCUUGAGAUGGCCUUGCGGUGCAUUAGCUAGUUGGUGGGGUAACGGCCCACCAAGGCGACGAUGCAUAGCCGACCUGAGAGGGUGAUCGGCCACACUGGGACUGAGACACGGCCCAGACUCCUACGGGAGGCAGCAGUAGGGAAUCUUCCACAAUGGACGAAAGUCUGAUGGAGCAACGCCGCGUGAGUGAUGAAGGUUUUCGGAUCGUAAAACUCUGUUGUAAGGGAAGAACACGUACGAGAGGAAAUGCUCGUACCUUGACGGUACCUUACGAGAAAGCCACGGCUAACUACGUGCCAGCAGCCGCCGUAA